GCCGGGUGUGGUGGCACACACCUGUAGUCCCAGCUACUUGGGAGGCUGAGGCAGGAGAAUCGCUUGAACCCAGGAGGCGGAGGUUGGAGUGCAAUGUGAGCCGAGACCACACAUUGCACUCCAGCCUGGGUGACAAAGCAGGACUCUGUCUCAA
Pan troglodytes (chimpanzee) is the source of this 154-nucleotide non-coding RNA. It matches the Rfam family "Metazoan signal recognition particle RNA". Rfam says of the family: The signal recognition particle (SRP) is a universally conserved ribonucleoprotein. The record is from Rfam. Lineage: Eukaryota; Metazoa; Chordata; Mammalia; Primates; Hominidae.